RNAcentral lists this ribosomal RNA (439 nucleotides) under uncultured bacterium. Its description in RNAcentral is "partial 16S ribosomal RNA". It matches the Rfam family "Bacterial small subunit ribosomal RNA", at positions 339 to 795 of the family's 1533-position model. The record is from RNAcentral.
CUACGGGGUGCUGCAGUGAGGAAUAUUGCAUAAUGGGGGGAACCCUGAUGCAGCAACGCCGCGUGGAGGAUGACGCAUUUCGGUGUGUAAACUCCUUUUAUAUGUCAAGAAAAUGACGGUAGCAUAUGAAUAAGCACCGGCUAAUUCCGUGCCAGCAGUUGCGGUAAUAUGGAGGGUGCAAGCGUUACUCGGAAUCACUGGGCGUAAAGGACGCGUAGGCGGGUUGGAAAGUCAGGUGUGAAACCCUACAGCUUAACUGUAGAACUGCACUUGAAACUUCUAAUCUAGAGUAUGGGAGGGGGAGAUGGAAUUAGUGGUGUAGGGGUAAAAUCCGUAGAUAUCACUAGGAAUACCUAAAGCGAAGGCGAUCUCCUGGAACAUUACUGACGCUAAGGCGUGAAAGCGUGGGGAGCAAACAGGAUUAGAUACCCGGGUAGUC